UACGAAGGGGGCUAGCGUUGCUCGGAAUCACUGGGCGUAAAGCGCACGUAGGCGGAUUGCUAAGUCAGGGGUGAAAUCCUGGAGCUCAACUCCAGAACUGCCUUUGAUACUGGCGACCUUGAGGCCGGGAGAGGUGAGUGGAACUGCGAGUGUAGAGGUGAAAUUCGUAGAUAUUCGCAAGAACACCAGUGGCGAAGGCGGCUCACUGGCCCGGUACUGACGCUGAGGUGCGAAAGCGUGGGGAGCAAACAGG
RNAcentral lists this ribosomal RNA (253 nucleotides) under uncultured bacterium. RNAcentral's name for it is "partial 16S ribosomal RNA". It matches the Rfam family "Bacterial small subunit ribosomal RNA", at positions 524 to 776 of the family's 1533-position model. The record is from RNAcentral.